GAACUAACGCUGGCGGCGCGUCUUAAACAUGCAAGUCGGACGGUAUCCUUUGAGCUUGCUUAGGGGAGAGAGUGGCGAACGGGUGAGUAACACGUAGGUGACCUGCCCCGAUGUGGGGAAUAACUGCUGGAAACGGUAGCUAAUACCCCAUGUGAUCGGCGAUUCGGUUCGUCGAUUAAAGCUCCGGCGCGUCGGGAGGGGUCUGCGGCCCAUCAGGUAGUUGGUAGGGUAAUGGCCUACCAAGCCGAUGACGGGUAGCUGGUCUGAGAGGAUGAUCAGCCACACUGGAACUGAAACACGGUCCUGACUCCUACGGGAGGCAGCAGUGAGGAAUAUUGCGCAAUGGACGAAAGUCUGACGCAGCAACGCCGCGUGGGCGAAGAAGGCCUUCGGGUUGUAAAGCCCUUUUCUGAGGGAAGAGAGAGGACGGUACCUCAGGAAUAAGUCUCGGCUAACUACGUGCCAGCAGCCGCGGUAAAACGUAGGAGGCGAGCGUUAUCCGGAUUUAUUGGGCGUAAAGCGCGUGCAGGUGGUAUCGUAAGUCGGAUGUGAAAGCCUCUGGCUCAACUGGAGGAUGUCGUUCGAUACUGCGGAACUUGAGGUCGGGAGAGGGAAGCGGAAUUCCCGGUGUAGUGGUGGAAUGCGUAGAUAUCGGGAGGAACACCAGUGGCGAAGGCGGCUUCCUGGCCCGCACCUGACACUAAGACGCGAAAGCGUGGGGAGCGAACA
Molecule: ribosomal RNA, 729 nt
Filed under: uncultured bacterium
Lineage: Bacteria
Description: bacterial SSU rRNA
Rfam family: Bacterial small subunit ribosomal RNA
Source: RNAcentral